This is a long non-coding RNA of Herpailurus yagouaroundi (jaguarundi), 672 nucleotides long. RefSeq lists it as uncharacterized. The transcript has 2 exons. NCBI's taxonomy places the organism in Eukaryota, Metazoa, Chordata, Mammalia, Carnivora, Felidae. The record is from RefSeq and is a predicted model, not a curated record.
UUGGGUGGUUCGAGCUACUAAGCAGGAGGGGAGAAGGAAAUGCAAGGUGUCUGGGAAGCUUGGAGGCUGCAAAUGUUCUUUCCCCAUAUCUUACCUGAAAAGACAGUCCAGAGAAGCACAACGAAGAGCCCCAUGACUGGAAGGAAGUGAACCUUCACCUGGAAUGAGGGGAUCCUGACAUCGUCAAGAACCAGCCUCUCCGAUGGCUCCCGGCAUUCGUGCUGUUGUUCCCUCUUCAGCCGAAUCAGGGCUGGCCUGUGUGAUCAAGAAAACCAAUGAAAAUUAGAUAGCAAUUGAUAAUUUGUGUGGUCAUAGUUUUUAAAAUCAGUAUUAUUUCUGAGAAAGCUGCGUGCAAAUCGUGCACUGGGAAUGGCUCGGAGAAAGUGCCGUGAAACCAAAGAAAAGCACCAACAGAAGGAGAAAUGGAUUGUGCCCAGACGUCAGUGAAGUGCGCAAGUCAUGAAAAGGUGAUGUUCUAAAGCAAAUGAGAGGCCCGGAGUUAUAGAGAAUGGACAGAUGUGUCUUAUCGGUAUCCUGACUCCCAGGUGGUGCAGUUAGUUCUCCUGGUGCCUCAUAAGGGUAGAAUUAAUUUUUGCUCCUUAGAUGGGCAAACUAAGAAGAUGAAUGGGUAAGAAGCAGAAGCCCACUGAUCAUUUAAAAACUACCUUUUAG